Molecule: ribosomal RNA, 515 nt
Filed under: uncultured bacterium
Lineage: Bacteria
Description: partial 16S ribosomal RNA
Rfam family: Bacterial small subunit ribosomal RNA
Source: RNAcentral
GAUGAACGCUGGCGGCGUGCCUAAUACAUGCAAGUCGAGCGAAUGGAUUAAGAGCUUGCUCUUAUGAAGUUAGCGGCGGACGGGUGAGUAACACGUGGGUAACCUGCCCAUAAGACUGGGAUAACUUCGGGAAACCGGGGCUAAUACCGGAUAACAUUUUGAACCGCAUGGUUCGAAAUUGAAAGGCUGCUUCGGCUGUCACUUAUGGAUGGACCCGCGUCGCAUUAGCUAGUUGGUGAGGUAAAGGCUCACCAAGGCAACGAUGCGUAGCCGACCUGAGAGGGUGAUCGGCCACACUGGGACUGAGACACGGCCCAGACUCCUACGGGAGGCAGCGGUAGGGAAUCUUCCGCAAUGGACGAAAGUCUGACGGAGCAACGCCGCGUGAGUGAUGAAGGCUUUCGGGUCGUAAAACUCUGUUGUUAGGGAAGAACAAGUGCUAGUUGAAUAAGCUGGCACCUUGACGGUACCUAACCAGAAAGCCACGGCUAACUACGUGCCAGCCGCCGCGGUAA